This 218-nucleotide ribosomal RNA is filed under the name Escherichia coli. RNAcentral describes it as "partial 16S ribosomal RNA". It matches the Rfam family "Bacterial small subunit ribosomal RNA", at positions 1 to 215 of the family's 1533-position model. The record is from RNAcentral. Lineage: Bacteria; Pseudomonadati; Pseudomonadota; Gammaproteobacteria; Enterobacterales; Enterobacteriaceae.
UUAAAUUGAAGAGUUUGAUCAUGGCUCAGAUUGAACGCUGGCGGCAGGCCUAACACAUGCAAGUCGAACGGUAACAGGAAUCAGCUUGCUGAUUUGCUGACGAGUGGCGGACGGGUGAGUAAUGUCUGGGAAACUGCCUGAUGGAGGGGGAUAACUACUGGAAACGGUAGCUAAUACCGCAUAACGUCGCAAGACCAAAGAGGGGGACCUUCGGGCCU